This 722-nucleotide long non-coding RNA is filed under the name Gallus gallus (chicken). RNAcentral's name for it is "lncRNA (ENSGALG00010010304.1)". Lineage: Eukaryota; Metazoa; Chordata; Aves; Galliformes; Phasianidae. The record is from RNAcentral.
AUUUUCUGUACUGCCUUUUAGAGGAAGACUCUAAAUAGUGCCCUGAUUGUGAACAGAUCUUGAUCAAACUUCUGGUCUGCUGUUUGAAGAGGAAGCUGUGAAUAAGAAUAGCACAAGAAGAUAAACAGCUACUUCAAAACAAAUUUUUCCAGCUCUCUUCCAAAUACAAAACGUUAUUGCGAUGUGCUGUGCUGCAAUUGAAGGCAUCUUGGUUGUGACAGGAAAAAAAAAAAAAAAAAGGAGCUACUGAAUUGCUUUGUAUUUAAGCAGACGCUCUGGAAGUCUGAGAGCAUGUGUUUUAUGUGCAACUUCUGACAACCUAGGGAAAAGAGAAAGUUGCUGAUCUGGAAAAACCAUGGAAGGUGUCAUGAGAAGAAUCAUGGCAGAAUGAGCUCAUUUUGAAAUCACUGUUCAAAACUACAGUGGAGGCUUAUGGGCUCUGUGAGUCUUUCACACCCAAACACUGAGGAGCAGGGAUAAAUUACCAGAAGAAUGCUGAAUCUGUCAUUCUUUCCUCUUUUUGCUUGGGGAAAUGGGACCAGUGUUAUGGGUGAAACGUCACCUCUCUUGACUACAUAUCCUCUUUUGAGAGUGGAACAGUGAAGGCAUAGAGGCGCAAUAUAAAUUUCACUUUCACUGUAGUCCAAAAUUGUGCUUAUCUUGCAUUUGUCAAGGUGGAGUUUGAAAUUCAAGUAAAUAUAAAGAAAGUUAUUUUCCUCCAG